UUCAUGGAGAGUUUGAUCCUGGCUCAGGACGAACGCUGGCGGCGUGCCUAAUACAUGCAAGUCGAGCGGACCGACGGGAGCUUGCUCCCUUAGGUCAGCGGCGGACGGGUGAGUAACACGUGGGUAACCUGCCUGUAAGACUGGGAUAACUCCGGGAAACCGGGGCUAAUACCGGAUGCUUGAUUGAACCGCAUGGUUCAAUCAUAAAAGGUGGCUUUUAGCUACCACUUACAGAUGGACCCGCGGCGCAUUAGCUAGUUGGUGAGGUAACGGCUCACCAAGGCGACGAUGCGUAGCCGACCUGAGAGGGGGAUCGGCCACACUGGGACUGAGA
RNAcentral lists this ribosomal RNA (334 nucleotides) under Bacillus licheniformis. RNAcentral's name for it is "bacterial SSU rRNA". It matches the Rfam family "Bacterial small subunit ribosomal RNA", at positions 1 to 324 of the family's 1533-position model. Lineage: Bacteria; Bacillati; Bacillota; Bacilli; Caryophanales; Bacillaceae. The record is from RNAcentral.